This 208-nucleotide ribosomal RNA is filed under the name uncultured bacterium. RNAcentral's name for it is "partial 16S ribosomal RNA". It matches the Rfam family "Bacterial small subunit ribosomal RNA", at positions 568 to 774 of the family's 1533-position model. The record is from RNAcentral.
CGUGCAGGUGGCUUGCUAAGUGGUGCGUGAAAGCGCUCGGCUCAACCGGGCGAGGGCGUGCCAAACUGGCAGACUAGAAACAGGCAGAGGAAAGUGGAAUUCGGGGUGUAGUGGUGAAAUGCGUAGAGAUCCCGAGGAACUCCUGUGGCGAAGGCGACUUUCUGGGCCUGCUUUGACACUCAGACGCGAAAGCAUGGGGAGGCGAACG